UAAAGGUUUGGUCCUAGCCUUCCUAUUAGUUUUUAGUAGACUUACACAUGCAAGCCUCCACGCCCUAGUGAGAAUGCCCUUAAAAUCACCAGUGAUCUAAAGGAGCAGGUAUCAAGCACACUCUUAAGUAG
Molecule: ribosomal RNA, 131 nt
Filed under: Canis lupus familiaris (dog)
Lineage: Eukaryota; Metazoa; Chordata; Mammalia; Carnivora; Canidae
Description: 12S ribosomal RNA
Source: RNAcentral